RNAcentral lists this ribosomal RNA (878 nucleotides) under Aculops sp. NJAUAcariEriS91.2. Its description in RNAcentral is "partial 18S ribosomal RNA". It matches the Rfam family "Eukaryotic small subunit ribosomal RNA", at positions 311 to 957 of the family's 1831-position model. The record is from RNAcentral. Lineage: Eukaryota; Metazoa; Arthropoda; Arachnida; Trombidiformes; Eriophyidae.
ACAAGCCUGAGAAACGGCUAGUAGGACUAAGGAUCUGUAGCAUUAAUCCAGGAUUCGAUUCCGGAGAACAAGCAUGAGAAACGGCUAGUAGGAGUAAGGUCUGCAGCAGGCGCGAAACUUACACAAUGCUAGAUCACAAUUAGCGAUGUAGUGAAGAAAAAUACCGAUGUACUUCCAUUUAAACAUGGUAGUACAAUUGGAAUGAGACGACUAUAAAUGAGUUAGUCGAGUAACAAAUGGAGGGCAAGUCUGGUGCCAGCAGCCGCGGUAAUUCCAGCUCCAUUAGCAUACAUUAAAGUUGUUGCGGUUAAAAAGCUCGUAGUUGAAUUUUAGGCGAGCUCUAUUGGGCCUCUUCCGAAAAGGCUCCAUCGCAGUUCGCUGCUUUGGUUGCUGGUUGUAGGCUUCCAUUAGGAACUCGCUGUUUCGUCACUUAAUCGAGUGCGAAGCGGGCUGGCACGAUACCACCUCGGUGGUUUUAUCGUUUCAGCAUGUUUACCUUGAGAAAAUUAGAGUGCUCACAGCAGGCAGUUGGGGUGUAAAAGCUCCUUUAUGCUUGAAUAAUGUUGCAUGGAAUAAUAGAAUACGGCCUCGGUUCUAUUCUGUUGGUCUUAUAGAACAACAAACAAGUUGGUUAAAGCGACCAAAAGUCCAUCUUGAGCGUGGCUCGUCGGGUUAUGUUGCCUGGAAGGUUAAAGUUUCAGCGCCUUGCUCGUCUUGCCAUUAAAAGCGCUCUUGGUGUGGCUAGCUUUUCAAUCAACUGAGGCAAUGGUUAAAAGAAAUAGUCACGGCGGCAUCAGUACUGCAUCGUGAGAGGUGAAAUUCGGGGACCGUCAAUUAAAAGAAAUAGUCGCGGCGGCAUCAGUACUGCAUCGUGAGAG